This 252-nucleotide ribosomal RNA is filed under the name uncultured bacterium. RNAcentral describes it as "partial 16S ribosomal RNA". It matches the Rfam family "Bacterial small subunit ribosomal RNA", at positions 524 to 776 of the family's 1533-position model. The record is from RNAcentral.
UACGGAGGAUGCGAGCGUUAUCCGGAUUUAUUGGGUUUAAAGGGUGCGUAGGCGGACUGUCAAGUCAGCAGUAAAAUUGAGAGGCUCAACCUCUUCCCGCCGUUGAAACUGGUGGUCUUGAGUGGAUGAGAAGUACGCGGAAUGCGUGGUGUAGCGGUGAAAUGCAUAGAUAUCACGCAGAACCCCGAUUGCGAAGGCAGCCUUCCGGCGCCCUACUGACGCUGAGGCACGAAAGUGCGGGGAUCGAACAGG